This 63-nucleotide transfer RNA is filed under the name Megacampsomeris sp. 1 YJY-2023a. Its description in RNAcentral is "tRNA-Lys". Lineage: Eukaryota; Metazoa; Arthropoda; Insecta; Hymenoptera; Scoliidae. The record is from RNAcentral.
UAUUUUGUAACUAAAUAAGUUAAGAUUUUUUAAAUCUAUAAUAGUAUAAAAUACUCAAAAUAA